Molecule: ribosomal RNA, 253 nt
Filed under: uncultured bacterium
Lineage: Bacteria
Description: partial 16S ribosomal RNA
Rfam family: Bacterial small subunit ribosomal RNA
Source: RNAcentral
UACGAAGGGGGCUAGCGUUGCUCGGAAUCACUGGGCGUAAAGCGCACGUAGGCGGAUUGCUAAGUCAGGGGUGAAAUCCCGGGGCUCAACCUCGGAACUGCCUUUGAUACUGACAAUCUCGAGUCCGGAAGAGGUGGGUGGAAUUCCUAGUGUAGAGGUGAAAUUCGUAGAUAUUAGGAAGAACACCAGUGGCGAAGGCGGCCCACUGGUCCGGUACUGACGCUGAGGUGCGAAAGCGUGGGGAGCAAACAGG